Molecule: ribosomal RNA, 375 nt
Filed under: Enterococcus faecium
Lineage: Bacteria; Bacillati; Bacillota; Bacilli; Lactobacillales; Enterococcaceae
Description: bacterial SSU rRNA
Rfam family: Bacterial small subunit ribosomal RNA
Source: RNAcentral
CGAACGGGUGAGUAACACGUGGGUAACCUGCCCAUCAGAAGGGGAUAACACUUGGAAACAGGUGCUAAUACCGUAUAACAAUCRAAACCGCAUGGUUUUGAUUUGAAAGGCGCUUUCGGGUGUCGCUGAUGGAUGGACCCGCGGUGCAUUAGCUAGUUGGUGAGGUAACGGCUCACCAAGGCCACGAUGCAUAGCCGACCUGAGAGGGUGAUCGGCCACAUUGGGACUGAGACACGGCCCAAACUCCUACGGGAGGCAGCAGUAGGGAAUCUUCGGCAAUGGACGAAAGUCUGACCGAGCAACGCCGCGUGAGUGAAGAAGGUUUUCGGAUCGUAAAACUCUGUUGUUAGAGAAGAACAAGGAUGAGAGUAACUG